CAGUUAGCUCAGUUGGUUAGAGUGUGGCACUGAUAAUGCCACGGUCACAGGUUUGAUCCCUGUAUGGAUGG
RNAcentral lists this transfer RNA (71 nucleotides) under Podarcis lilfordi (Lilford's wall lizard). Its description in RNAcentral is "tRNA.Ile". The stretch from base 4 to 64 matches the Rfam family "tRNA", at positions 7 to 64 of the family's 71-position model. Rfam says of the family: Transfer RNA (tRNA) molecules are approximately 80 nucleotides in length. Their secondary structure includes four short double-helical elements and three loops (D, anti-codon, and T loops). Lineage: Eukaryota; Metazoa; Chordata; Lepidosauria; Squamata; Lacertidae. The record is from RNAcentral.